Mytilus californianus (California mussel) is the source of this 654-nucleotide long non-coding RNA. RefSeq lists it as uncharacterized. Lineage: Eukaryota; Metazoa; Mollusca; Bivalvia; Mytilida; Mytilidae. The transcript is spliced from 2 exons. The record is from RefSeq and is a predicted model, not a curated record.
AAUUGCGAUAAAUAACAAUGAGACAUAACCCAAAAAUACGAAAGGUUCCGUGUUAGUUAUAUUUUGCAUGUGUCCCUUUUCAAAUAAGAAAUACAUGCAUACGACUUGUUUAAGUUAUUGAGUGCUUCUCUGCAGAAAAACAACCACAGACGAUGUAAGAGAUAGCGUUGUAGUGUGCAUGCUCUCAUGUCAUGUUUUGGCCCUAAGACCAUGUUUACUUCCUAGUAAUCACAAUGAUAAGGCGUAAUUCGUUUCUGCGCAAUUAUUAAACAGAUUUAAACGAAUUUGUGAAGGUUAUUGGUGAAGUUUUCUAUAUAAUGAACAAAUUUGGUUUCUUGCAUAUAAAUAAUUAUAUGUUCUAUGUGGUAAAGAAUAUCAUUCUUAAGAGCUUGUUAUGAAACUCGCCGUAAUAAUCGUCUGUUUGGUUAUUUUGAACAUAUUUGGAGACACAACAUGCGCAACUGACCAAUGUGCCACGGAUUGCAUAAUUCGUACCAGUACCUGUAUCGGUGUUUGUGGUGGAAAAGACAUAUUUCAGAUGUUGUCAUGUCAUUCAAACUGCAAAACUCAAUGCUUACUAUGUACCAUCAACUGCCCUAAUCGUGCAGGAACAGCUUGUCAAUUUUAAAUCAUAAAUAAAAGAACUAUUUAUUA